RNAcentral lists this long non-coding RNA (1005 nucleotides) under Homo sapiens (human). RNAcentral's name for it is "HSALNT0357355". The record is from RNAcentral. Lineage: Eukaryota; Metazoa; Chordata; Mammalia; Primates; Hominidae.
CAGAGGGAGGCAACUGAAUCAUGAGGGCUGGUCUUUCCCAUAUUAUUCUUGUUACAGUGAAUAAGUCUCAUGAGAUCUGAUGGGUUUAUCAGGGGUUUCUGCUUUUGCUUCUUUCUCAUUUUCUCUUGCCACUGCCAUGUAAGAAGUACCUUUUGCCUCCCGCCAUGAUUCUGAGGCCUCCCCAGCCAUGUGGAACUAUGGAGUCUCCCUCUGUUUCCAGGCUGGAGUGUAGUGGAACGAUCUCGGCUCACUGCAAUCUCCAUCUCCCAGGUUCAAGCGAUUCUCUGCCUCAGCCUCCCAAGUAGCUGGGACUACAGUCAACAGAACAGAUGAAGAGAACUCAGAAUUACAAAAUUUGUUUCCAACUCCACUACACCCAUUUUUGGAAGAUCUGUUUUGAAUCCACGUUUCCAAGGAUGAUUUAGAAAAAGACAGCAAACUGAACAAAGCCCUGAGGAAAUAUUAACAAGUACAACCUUUCCCUGGAAGCAAUACACAUUUUCCUGGUGCCUGUUUAUUGUCACCUUUAUCUCCUUACUUGGGCUUGACAGCAAGUGGUGAACCAGGAUUUAUCUUGUUGAGGCUCAAAGCUUUAGUGGUGUUGUCAUUCGCCAGUAGCUCUGGUUCCUCUCAGCAAAAACAGUGGAAAACACUUUUAAUUGUAAAAUACAUUAUGUUUAACUUCCACUAAAAAAAAAAGAUGGUGAAGGAAAAAGUUUUUUGUGUUUUUAUUUUGUAGAUCAAAACCUAGUAUUUAUUUUGGAAAGAUGGGUACAGUUAUUUUUUCCCCAUGUUUGUUCUAUUCCCUUUAAGCUUCUAAAGGAACAAACAAAAAAUAGCUUAACUGAAACUAACAAAGGAUGAUGAAACACUUUUAAGUCUUCAAAAAGGUAAUAUUGGAUACUUGCAAUUGCUAGCAAUAUUUGGAGUUAAGGGAUAAUGUUUAAAACUCAACUGAACUUUCUUUACAGUUGUAAGGAUUUCUAAGAGUGAGAUUCUAGGCCC